GAUGAACGCUGGCGGCGUGCCUAACACAUGCAAGUCGAACGGAGUUUUAUGAAGUUUUCGGACGGAAUAAAACUUAGUGGCGGACGGGUGAGUAACGCGUGGGUAAGCUGCCUCAUACAGGGGGAUAACAGUUGGAAACGGCUGCUAAAACCGCAUAAGCCUACAUUGUCGCAUGGCAGAGUGUGAAAAUAUUUCUAGGUAUGAGAUGGGCCCGUGUCUGAUGAACUAGUUGGUAAGGUAACGGCUUACCAAGGCGACGAUCAGUAGCCGGCUUGAGAGAGUGACCGGCCACAUUGGGACUGAGACACGGCCCAAACUCCUACGGGAGGCAGCAGUGGGGAAUAUUGCACAAUGGGGGAAACCCUGAUGCAGCGACGCCGCGUGAGUGAAGAAGUAUUUCGGUAUGUAAAGCUCUAUCAGCAGGGAAGAAAAUGACGGUACCUGACUAAGAAGCCCCGGCUAACUACGUGCCAGCCGCCGCGGUAA
Molecule: ribosomal RNA, 486 nt
Filed under: uncultured bacterium
Lineage: Bacteria
Description: partial 16S ribosomal RNA
Rfam family: Bacterial small subunit ribosomal RNA
Source: RNAcentral